GUCUAGCCAUCUUGGUGCCGAAAAGUUUUUGACAUACUCUACCGCUUUUGCGUAAUUGUAUUGACGAAAACGUUUCGUUCGGAGCCAAGCGGCAAUACAGUACCGCAAAGUCGACAGCGUAGCUCCGAGCUGCUGUUCGUUGCACCUUGUUCCAUCAUAUUGUCUCUGGACUCUGGAUGAAAUGUAUUUCUUAUGUCACUUUAAUAAACCUAAAGUAAAUACUUUACACCAUUAUUGUGAAUUUGAAAUAGAAAGCUGCAAAAUAGACUUAAGAAUGUGAGCAAGAUCGAAAUAAUUUUCGAUGUACGUAGUCGUUAUAAACAGAUGCAAAGUGACAUACUAUAUGAAUUUAAAUGGAUUUGGUCUCACAACAACUAAUCUGCAAAAUGAAGAAGCAACACAUUUAGUGCUUUAAAGCAACAAUGGAAAUAGUACUGCGGAUUGAUAAAUAGAGGAAAAGAAGAUUGAUUAGCAGUUGAUUUGUUCCAAGGUAUUGAAAAAAAUGUGAAAAAAAAAACACACUAGUGUCAACACUGAAAUUAGCGUUUGAUUAAUGCUUUAAUUGGGUUUGCUGCUUGAACAUUAUCAAUUUGAAUGCAGAUUUUGAGUUAAUAUAUAGUAGUAAUAGUACCAGCAGCAGCUUCUAAAUAAAAUUAAACAAGGGAUUAAUAAAGAUUAUAUUAUAAUAGAAACUUAGUCUGGUAUGAAAUUAUGACCCUUAAUUAACUUUUGAUUUGAAUUUGGUGUUCCAUCUUGUUAGAUAUAAAUUUAAGUAUGAUUGAUGCCGAUUAUAAGUAAGGUAACAUUUACAUCAUUUAACUUUUGUUUAUAUCAGAGAUUUGCUACUAGUUAAUACAUAUGUGAAAGCAAAUCAAGUUUAAGUAAGGAAUGAAUAAAAGUUAUAUUUGUAGUA
Pieris rapae (cabbage white) is the source of this 913-nucleotide long non-coding RNA. RefSeq lists it as uncharacterized. The transcript has 2 exons. NCBI's taxonomy places the organism in Eukaryota, Metazoa, Arthropoda, Insecta, Lepidoptera, Pieridae. The record is from RefSeq and is a predicted model, not a curated record.